RNAcentral lists this ribosomal RNA (497 nucleotides) under uncultured bacterium. Its description in RNAcentral is "partial 16S ribosomal RNA". It matches the Rfam family "Bacterial small subunit ribosomal RNA", at positions 28 to 507 of the family's 1533-position model. The record is from RNAcentral.
GACGAACGCUGGCGGCGUGCCUAAUACAUGCAAGUCGAGCGCUGGAGGGUGGCACUUGUUCCAACUGUAUUAGCAGCGGACGGGUGAGUAACGCGUGGGUAAUCUGCCUUUGAGCGGGGGACAACAUUUGGAAACCAAUGCUAAUACCGCAUAAAAAUUUUAAACACAAGUUUUAAGAUUGAAAGAUGCAAUUGCUUCACUCAAAAAUGAUCUCGCGUUUGAUUUGCUAGUUGGGGAGGGAAAGGCCUCACAAGGGGAACGUACAUAACCGACCUGAAAGGGUGGUCGGCCCACUUGGGAAUGAGACCAGGCCCCAAACUCUAAGGGAGGGAGCAGUAGGGAAUCCUCGGCAAUGGAAGAAAGUCUGACCGAGCAACGGCGCGUGAGUGAAGAAGGGUGUCGGAUCGUAAAAACUCGUUUGUAGGGAAGAACGUUGGGGAGAGUUGAAAGCUCAUAAAGUGACGGUAACUACCCAGAAAGGCACGGCUAACUACGUG